RNAcentral lists this ribosomal RNA (492 nucleotides) under uncultured bacterium. RNAcentral describes it as "partial 16S ribosomal RNA". It matches the Rfam family "Bacterial small subunit ribosomal RNA", at positions 29 to 507 of the family's 1533-position model. The record is from RNAcentral.
AGUGAACGCUGGCGGUAGGCCUAACACAUGCAAGUCGAACGGCAGCACAGUAAGAGCUUGCUCUUACGGGUGGCGAGUGGCGGACGUGUGAGGAAUACAUCGGAAUCUACUUUUUCGUGUGGCAUAACGUAGGGAAACUUACGCUAAUACCGCAUACGACCUACGGGUGAAAGCAGGGGAUCUUCGGACCUUGCGCGAUUGAAUGCGCCGAUGUCGGAUUAGCUAGUGGGCGGGGGACAGGCCCACCAAGGCGACGAUCGGUAGCCGGUCUGAGAGGCUGGUCAGCCACCGUGGAACGGAGACACGGUCCCGACUCCUACGGGAGGCAUCAGUCUGCAAUAUUAGCCAAUAGGCGCAAGCCUGGUCCAGCCCUCCCGCGUGGGUGGAGAAGGCCUUCCGGUUGUAAAGCCCGUUUGUUGGGUGUGAAAAGCAGCCGGUUGAUACGCAGCUUUUCUGACGGUACCCAGAAAAUAAGCACCGGCUAACUUCGUG